RNAcentral lists this ribosomal RNA (417 nucleotides) under uncultured bacterium. RNAcentral describes it as "bacterial SSU rRNA". It matches the Rfam family "Bacterial small subunit ribosomal RNA", at positions 384 to 793 of the family's 1533-position model. The record is from RNAcentral.
UGAUGCAGCCAUGCCGCGUGUGUGAAGAAGGCCUUCGGGUUGUAAAGCACUUUCAGUAGGGAGGAAGGUAGUGUAGUUAACACCUGCAUUAUUUGACGUUACCUACAGAAGAAGCACCGGCUAACUCCGUGCCAGCAGCCGCGGUAAUACGGAGGGUGCGAGCGUUAAUCGGAAUUACUGGGCGUAAAGCGCAUGCAGGCGGCCUGUUAAGUCAGAUGUGAAAGCCCCGGGGCUUAACCUCGGAAUUGCAUUUGAAACUGGCAGGCUAGAGUCUUGUAGAGGGGGUAGAAUUUCAGGUGUAGCGGUGAAAUGCGUAGAGAUCUGAAGGAAUACCAGUGGCGAAGGCGGCCCCCUGGACAAAGACUGACGCUCAGAUGCGAAAGCGUGGGGAGCAAACAGGAUUAGAUACCCUGGUAG